RNAcentral lists this ribosomal RNA (455 nucleotides) under uncultured bacterium. Its description in RNAcentral is "bacterial SSU rRNA". It matches the Rfam family "Bacterial small subunit ribosomal RNA", at positions 340 to 786 of the family's 1533-position model. The record is from RNAcentral.
UACGGGAGGCAGCAGUGGGGAAUAUUGCACAAUGGGCGCAAGCCUGAUGCAGCCAUGCCGCGUGUAUGAAGAAGGCCUUCGGGUUGUAAAGUACUUUCAGUCGUGAGGAAGGUGUUAAGGUUAAUAACCUUAGCAAUUGACGUUAGCGACAGAAGAAGCACCGGCUAACUCCGUGCCAGCAGCCGCGGUAAUACGGAGGGUGCGAGCGUUAAUCGGAAUUACUGGGCGUAAAGGGCACGCAGGCGGUUAAUUAAGUUGGAUGUGAAAUCCCCGGGCUUAACCUGGGAAUGGCAUUCAAGACUGGUUAGCUAGAGUCUUGUAGAGGGGGUAGAAUUCCAUGUGUAGCGGUGAAAUGCGUAGAGAUGUGGAGGAAUACCGGCGGCGAAGGCGGCCCCUGGGACAAAGGACUGACGCUCAUGUGCGAAAGCGUGGGGAGCAAACAGGGAUUAGAUACC